UACAGAGGAGCCAAGCGUUGUCCGGAUUGACUGGGCGUAAAGCGCACGCAGGCGGAUACGCGCGUGGGGUGUGAAAUCUGGCCGCUUAACGGCCAGGCGCCAUCCCAUACGGCGUGUCUGGAGCUGUGCAGAGGUCGGUGGAAUUGCCGGUGUAGUGGUGAAAUGCGUAGAGAUGUGGAGGAACACCGAUGGCGAAGGCAGCCUCCUGGGCCAGCACUGACGCUCAUGCACGAAAGCGUGGGGAGCAAACAGG
This 253-nucleotide ribosomal RNA is filed under the name uncultured bacterium. RNAcentral describes it as "partial 16S ribosomal RNA". It matches the Rfam family "Bacterial small subunit ribosomal RNA", at positions 524 to 776 of the family's 1533-position model. The record is from RNAcentral.